AUGAACGCUAGCGACAGGCUAACACAUGCAAGUCGAGGGGUAACAGGGUAGCAAUACCGCUGACGACCGGCGCACGGGUGAGUAACGCGUAUGCAACCUGCCUAUAAACUGGGGGAAUAGCUCCCUGAAAGGGGGAAUUAACACCGCAUAACACUAUUGAUUCGCAUGGAUUAGUAGUUAAAUGUAGCGAUACAGGUUAUAGAUGGGCAUGCGUGACAUUAGCUAGUUGGUGAGGUAACGGCUCACCAAGGCUACGAUGUCUAGGGGUUCUGAGAGGAAGGUCCCCCCACACUGGUACUGAGACACGGACCAGACUCCUACGGGAGGCAGCAGUGAGGAAUAUUGGUCAAUGGGCGCAAGCCUGAACCAGCCAUGUCGCGUGCAGGAAGAACCUGCCCUAUGGGUUGUAAACUGCUUUUAUAGUAGAAGAAACACAUCUACGCGUAGAUGUCUGCCAGUAUACUAUGAAUAAGCAUCGGCUAACUCCGUGCCAGCCGCCGC
RNAcentral lists this ribosomal RNA (501 nucleotides) under uncultured bacterium. RNAcentral describes it as "bacterial SSU rRNA". It matches the Rfam family "Bacterial small subunit ribosomal RNA", at positions 29 to 518 of the family's 1533-position model. The record is from RNAcentral.